UACGUAGGGUGCGAGCGUUAAUCGGAAUUACUGGGCGUAAAGCGUGCGCAGGCGGUUUUGUAAGCCAGAUGUGAAAUCCCCGGGCUCAACCUGGGAACUGCAUUGGUGACUGCAAGGCUUGAGUGUGUCAGAGGGAGGUGGAAUUCCGCGUGUAGCAGUGAAAUGCGUAGAUAUGCGGAGGAACACCGAUGGCGAAGGCAGCCUCCUGGGAUAACACUGACGCUCAUGCACGAAAGCGUGGGGAGCAAACAGG
This 253-nucleotide ribosomal RNA is filed under the name uncultured bacterium. Its description in RNAcentral is "partial 16S ribosomal RNA". It matches the Rfam family "Bacterial small subunit ribosomal RNA", at positions 524 to 776 of the family's 1533-position model. The record is from RNAcentral.